Molecule: long non-coding RNA, 728 nt
Organism: Homo sapiens (human)
Lineage: Eukaryota; Metazoa; Chordata; Mammalia; Primates; Hominidae
Product: long intergenic non-protein coding RNA 2619
Source: Ensembl
GGAGAGGUGAUACAGUCAUUUGGAGGAAAGAGGUUACUCUUGCUUUUUGAGUUUUCAGCAUUCUUGUGCUGAUUCUUUCUCAUCUUGGGUUGCUGUGGUAUGCUGGGGUUCCGCUUCAAUGCCUAGUCACCUCAGAUUUUCCUGUACCUGCAGGUAUCACCAGUGAAGCCUGCGAAGCAGCAAAGAUGGCAGUCUGCCCCGUCUUCUAGGAGCUCUGUCACAGGGAGACAAGCCGUGCUGUGCUGGCGGACCACUUCAGCUCAUGGUCACCUCAGACACUCUGAAGCCUGAAGGCUGGAACAACUAAAUUGCCCAAACAGCAAAUAUGACAGCAUCUACAGAAAUCAUUUUAUUUGAGUUAUGUAGCAAGAACCCAACUUAAGCAAAUAUAAAAUUUACAACUAAGUCACUAUUUGGAUAUUAAUGUGUAUGCUAAACUGAUUUGUUCAUGGGCUAGUCAGCUAUUCAUAUGAUCUUUACAAUUUUCUGAAUUCCAUUUUUUGGUUAAAAAAAGAAAACAAGCUGAUACUUUUAUCACUUUCUAAGAAACAUUUGAUUUAAAUUCUUAUGCCUUCAAUAUCUCAUGUAAAAUGCUAGUUUCAUUACUACUGUAAGUAAAUAUGUGUAAAACAGAAAGUAUCUGAGACAAGUCUCAAUCAGUUUUGAAGUUUAUUUGGCCAAGGUUAAGGAUAUGCCCAGAAGAAAUAAACAUGCAAUCACAGAAACAG